This 253-nucleotide ribosomal RNA is filed under the name uncultured bacterium. Its description in RNAcentral is "partial 16S ribosomal RNA". It matches the Rfam family "Bacterial small subunit ribosomal RNA", at positions 524 to 776 of the family's 1533-position model. The record is from RNAcentral.
UACGGAGGGUGCAAGCGUUAUCCGGAUUCACUGGGUUUAAAGGGUGCGUAGGUGGGUCGGUAAGUCCGUGGUGAAAUCUCCGAGCUUAACUCGGAAACUGCCGUGGAUACUAUCAAUCUUGAAUACUGUGGAGGUAAGCGGAAUAUGUCAUGUAGCGGUGAAAUGCUUAGAUAUGACACAGAACACCGAUAGCGGAGGCAGCUUGCUACACAGUCAUUGACACUGAGGCACGAAAGCGUGGGGAUCAAACAGG